CUCGCGCCGCGGCCACGCCGCCGCCAUGGAGCCCGGGCCGUGGGACGUGUGCGAGGAGACGGCCAUCCUGCACGGCGGGUUCCUGCUGGCCGCCCGGCUGACCCACCCGCGGCCGCUGCGGGAGCUGCGCAAAGCCGACUGGCCACGCGUGGGACCCCCCAUCACCGACGCCCUGGGGGAGAUCGGGGCCCGCUGCCCUUCGCCGCUGCAGCACAGCCUCUGGAAGAAGGAGGCUGUGGCCAUCGUCUGGGCUAAAGUCCUGCUGCCAGGCCCCCCGGCCGCCUCGCUGGACCAGGGAUGGAAGGAGGACGGCUUUUUCUCCGUGGGCAUGAUGAUCCCCGACGUUAACCGCACCGUCCUCUUCGAGCUGGUCAAGGCCCUCGGUGCGCCCCGGCUCUUCGUGCAGCUGCUGCUGGCGCUGCCCCAGGAUGUGCGCCAGAGCGAGCUGGAGCAGUUGGUGGAGUACGUCGCCAGCGAGACGUCCUCGUCGGACAUCGUGUUCUUCUUGGACGUCUGGUGGGAGGUGAUGAAACACAAGGAGGGAGAGGAAGACGCAACGGUCUCUACAUUCAGCGCUGUCAUAUGUCAGCAUGGAUGUGAGUCCUCUCUGGAUGAUGGUCUCCAGCCCCCAAAGAGGUUCAAGGGUGACCCAGGCGCUCUGAAUGACCCCCCUGCAGCCACCAGCCCGCUCACGGUCCUGAUUGAGGGGUUAAAGCAAACCUACCGGAGCAUCGCCCUGCCCCGCCUGAGGUGCUACGCCUUGGCCAACCUGGUGGAGCUGCUGACCGUGUUCGCCGAGCUAGAGCCAGAGGGCAGCCCCCUCCCUGUCGCGGAGUACCUGGACAAGGUCAGCUCUGUGGUCAGCCUCUGGACCAGCGACACUGAAAGUCAGUUCCACCACAGGGGGCUGGACGAGAAGGUGAAGGAAGCAGAGAGAAGCAUGAGCCUCUUGCCCGUGGCCAAACUCUCUCGUGAGGAGCUCUUUGUUGGUUUGGACUUUCUCUGCAGCUUGUUGCAUGCCUGGGGAGAGGAGCUGCAGGGCACCCUGAACAGCUCUGAGGAGCUCUGCUAUGAGAGCUACCGGCUCCUGGAUGCUCUUACCACUUUUGGGAAGAACCUGGUUUGCUUCUCAGAGACCAGAGACCUGGGUGAGGAUGAGACGCGUGUAGUGUUAGAGCUGACACAGAUCACCAACGACUUCCUCAAGGAGAUCAGUGUCAGCCUGAAGAGCAAGGAUUUGGACACUAGCCUUGUGUCUUCAGUUGCUAUGACAAUCAUUGAGCAAAAGCUGGAGCGACACGUGGAGAUGUGCUCCAUUUUUGUUUCUGAAAAGACCUGGGCCUUUUCCAAGGACUGGGUUGGCUGCCUUGUGAAAAGUAAAGCUCUCUUCCAGAAACCAGAGCUAGUUUUGAAAUUACUGGAGACGCUGGUGAACUUUGCCACAUCCCACCAAGACAAGGAGGCCCGAGAGCUACAGAUGCAAGUGACCAAAGCCAUCAUGGAAUGUUACACUGAGCUUUUGUUGACUGAUAAAAACAAAGUGAUCUCGGGUGUCCUGGCUUCCUGGGGCGGACCAGGUCUGUCCCUGAACUUGCAGGUUGUCAUGGAAGGCUUCCAGGAGGAUCUGAAUGUGACUUUCAACCAGAUCACAAAGAGUGUGUCUGAUGAAGGCUUGACCAGGGCUGUGGCUUCUGUGGCCAGGCUCACACUGCUGUACCCCGAGGCCACAGUGAAGCAGGUUUGUAGCCUUGCUGUAUUCAACCUAGGAGCGCACCAGUUCCUCGCACAAAUCCUGUGCUCCUUCCCAGCGCUGAGCUUCCUGGAGACCCACGAUGAUCCAGACAGGCCACGCAGCCUGGUGGUGAGGUGUCUGGAGGAGGCAGUGUGGGGGAGGCUUUCCACUGUGAGGGAAGAGGAGCAGUUCCUUGAGUUCCUGGCCUUCCUCAUGCAGCCAAGCUCAGCUGCCCCGCUUGUGUCACCUGCAGAGGUGACCAAAGCCUUUGUCCUUCCCUAUUUGAAGUCAGACUCUGCUCAAAUUGAGCUGAGCCUGCAGAUCCUCAGUAAGGUUUUGGGGGUACAGUCCUGUUCAGAAGAGCACUGGAUCAAGUCCUGUCACCCGUUCCCGCUUCUCCUCAGCCUCUGCAAGCUUCUAGAUGGCUACACAAAGUACUGGCAUCAGCCUAGGGACCAGCUUUUCCCUUCGCUGGAGACCAAAGACCUGUUGCUGAAAGUCCUCUGCCAGCUCUGUGAGGUGGUAAGACCAGAAACUGCCCCCUCCCCCGAGCUCUGGGUCCAGUCGCUGGCCUGGCUUCACAGGAAGGUGGCAUCACUGGACUGGACCAUUGGUCUUCGGCUGAAGAAGCUUUACGGAGAUCACUUCAAGAAUGAGGUCCCGGCGACGCUGUUUGAGAUCUGCACGCUUCCUGAGGACGAGUGGACGUCCCGGCCUUUGCCAGCCUAUGGACCAGGCAGCGGGCUCCUGGCAUGGAUGGAGUGCUGCUGCGUGUCCACGGCGCUCAGGGAGACGAUGCUGACGCUCCUCACGGUCAACGUGGACGACCCUGAAGAAGUGAAUCUCUUCAGCAAAGGGUUCCUGGUGGCCCUCAUACAGGUCCUCCCUUGGUGCAGCCACAGCGAAUGGAAGAGGCUCGUGCACGUGGUUGAAAACCUGCUGCAGAGGCAAAUCCUGCACGUGCCGUACACGCUGGAGUACGUGCAGUACAUGCCCCUGCUCAACCUCCGGCCGUUUGCCUGCUACCUCCAGUUCUCCGUGCUCUUCCUGCGGGGCUUCCAGCUCCUCUGCAGCUCCAGCUGUUCCACCUGGUUGCCGACAGAGGCUUGGCUCCACGUGGUCCAGCUGUACUGCGGCAGCCUCACAGACCUGCUGGACUCCGUCAAGAGCGUCGCGGGGCCCCCCUCGCAACCCACCGAGGACAGGACCUCCGUGCAGGAGGUGUCCUUCAUCUGCAUCCAGAUGUUCUGCCAUCUGCUGCACGUCGCCGCCAUGCUGCCGGACAAGGGGUGCGGCGAGCCACUGGUGGUGGCGGCGUUGGAGAUCCUCUCGCAGUACGAGACGUUCAGCAGUGCCGAUACGUCCCCCAGCAGCAGACUGCGGAGAGCCAACGAGAGGCACUUCCUGGAGUCCAUCGUGGACAACGUCAGUGACAAGGAGCUGCGUGGCAUCCUCCUGCAGAAGCUCAGCAAACUGGGAGCCUGCUUGGCCGGGGAGCCGGCUUGAGAAGCUGGAGCGGGCGACGGGAGAGUGCCAACCCAGCCUCAGGGGCCUCCUUACGUGGAGAGUUAACAGAGCUGUGGCUGGGACAAGAUCCGACACCCAAAGGAACUGGGUCCUCGGCCCUUCCAGCCGUUGUUUUUAUACAGAAUGAAAGGCACAGAGUGGCCA
RNA transcript from Grus americana (Whooping crane), 3403 nucleotides. It is a transcript of the gene named gem nuclear organelle associated protein 4, with no coding region annotated. The record is from RefSeq and is a predicted model, not a curated record. The transcript is spliced from 3 exons. NCBI's taxonomy places the organism in Eukaryota, Metazoa, Chordata, Aves, Gruiformes, Gruidae.